GACGAACGCUGGCGGCGUGCCUAACACAUGCAAGUCGAGCGAUGAAGUUCCUUCGGGAACGGAUUAGCGGCGGACGGGUGAGUAACACGUGGGCAACCUGCCUUAUAGAGGGGAAUAGCCUUCCGAAAGGAAGAUUAAUACCGCAUAAGAUUGUAGCUUCGCAUGAAGUAGCAAUUAAAGGAGCAAUCCGCUAUAAGAUGGGCCCGCGGCGCAUUAGCUAGUUGGUGAGGUGACGGCUCACCAAGGCGACGAUGCGUAGCCGACCUGAGAGGGUGAUCGGCCACAUUGGGACUGAGACACGGCCCAGACUCCUACGGGAGGCAGCAGUGGGGAAUAUUGCACAAUGGGGGAAACCCUGAUGCAGCAACGCCGCGUGAGUGAUGACGGCCUUCGGGUUGUAAAGCUCUGUCUUUGGGGACGAUAAUGACGGUACCCAAGGAGGAAGCCACGGCUAACUACGUGC
This 463-nucleotide ribosomal RNA is filed under the name uncultured bacterium. RNAcentral's name for it is "bacterial SSU rRNA". It matches the Rfam family "Bacterial small subunit ribosomal RNA", at positions 28 to 508 of the family's 1533-position model. The record is from RNAcentral.